UACGAAGGGGGCUAGCGUUGCUCGGAAUCACUGGGCGUAAAGCGCACGUAGGCGGAUCUUUAAGUCAGGGGUGAAAUCCUGGAGCUCAACUCCAGAACUGCCUUUGAUACUGAGGAUCUUGAGUUCGGGAGAGGUGAGUGGAACUGCGAGUGUAGAGGUGAAAUUCGUAGAUAUUCGCAAGAACACCAGUGGCGAAGGCGGCUUCCUGGCCUGUAACUGACGCUGAGACGCGAAAGCGUGGGGAGCGAACCGG
This 253-nucleotide ribosomal RNA is filed under the name uncultured bacterium. RNAcentral's name for it is "partial 16S ribosomal RNA". It matches the Rfam family "Bacterial small subunit ribosomal RNA", at positions 524 to 776 of the family's 1533-position model. The record is from RNAcentral.